Molecule: ribosomal RNA, 305 nt
Filed under: uncultured bacterium
Lineage: Bacteria
Description: bacterial SSU rRNA
Rfam family: Bacterial small subunit ribosomal RNA
Source: RNAcentral
GUAGACCUACGGGGCGCAGCAGUGGGGAAUAUUGCACAAUGGGGGAAACCCUGAUGCAGCGACGCCGCGUGAGCGAUGAAGUAUUUCGGUAUGUAAAGCUCUAUCAGCAGGGAAGAAAAUGACGGUACCUGACUAAGAAGCCCCGGCUAAAUACGUGCCAGCAGCCGCGGUAAUACGUAUGGUGCAAGCGUUAUCCGGAUUUACUGGGUGUAAAGGGAGCGCAGGCGGCACGGCAAGCCUGAUGUGAAAGCCCGCGGCCCAACCGCGGGACUGCAUUGGGAACUACCGGGCUGGAGUGCCGGAGG